Molecule: RNA transcript, 2400 nt
Organism: Oreochromis aureus
Lineage: Eukaryota; Metazoa; Chordata; Actinopteri; Cichliformes; Cichlidae
Gene name: SLAIN motif-containing protein-like
Exons: 5
Source: RefSeq, a predicted model, not a curated record
GGUGUGAUAUUCUCUGACAGUGCAGCUUGUGAUGUAGAAGUAUUUCAUUUUAUCUAGCCUGUUUCUAGUCUGAGUUAUGACAGAGACAUGAACCUGAAUUUGCGCACUUCUAAAGAGACGUUAAAGACUUUGAGGUGGCUCUUUUUCAGGACAGUUCAAUCUGAGCACUCUUCAGUAUUAAAAGCUCUUCUGAACAGAUCUCCUCUUUACAUAGUCGUAACGUCUUUUUCCUCACAGGCUGUACGAGUCUCCAAGGAAGCAUUCGUUUGUAGAGAAAAAGGAAUCUGCUUUUAAAUGGUGUCGACAUGUCCUUGAUAAUCCCAGCCCUGAGAUGGAAGCUGCAUGCCGUGUACUGAUAAAAAUGCUGGAUCAAGGCAAGCGAGCGCCACAUACUCACCCACUCAUUAUCUUACAAAUAUCCUUGAUAUAAAAGAGGAUUCCUUUAAUGGCAUUCAGCUUUUUCUCUCCCACUUUUUGUAUUGUCAGGAUCAAGACAUGAGCUCCACAAACGUCCUGCAGUUCCCUAUCAUGCUGCCAGUGUCCCUGUGGGCUCCUCUGUGAAUAAAACCUCUGCCAGCGCAGCAGCCAAUACACCUGCCAGUUCAGGUCACAGUGAGCCAAGCAUCUCCCUCGAUGUUGUAACAAAGAGCUACAGGCUACAAGAUGUCCACAUUAUGGCUCAACUGCAGGAAGCCAGUUUGAGGCAGGACUUUGUCUCCAUGCCUUCCACUGCUUCACAGAGGAGAAACCCUGAGCCUCCAGUGAAGCUUCCACCCUCUUUUAACACCACAGAUGAAAACACUGCUUACUCAACUCUAGGAAAUAAAUCCGAAACUUCGUCUUCCAUAUCAGCAGUUAAGGAGUGCUGCCAGAGUCCCAGACCAUCCAUACUUCAUCAACAAGUCACCCAAUUCAAGCUGCUUAAACGCGCCCAGAACCAAGCAGGAUCACCAGGCAGGACGAGGUCGCCCCUGCGUACCAGCCUCCGCUCCCUCCAGGCUGUUAGGAACAGCCGAAGUUUAGACAUCGAUGACUGCCAACCUGCUGACCAAACAGCUUACCUUCCAUCAGAUCUGUCAUCUGCCAGGGGAGAGGGCUUAAGUUGCUGGUUGCCAUCAUUUUCCCCAGCUUCACUGAACUCUGGCAGCUUGUUGCAGUCGAUGAAAAGCUCAUCAGUCCGGACAGCGGCCGUGAAGAAGAUGAACAGGUCUCACUCUCUCAGCCCCUGCCGGAUCCCUCAGUCUGCUAAAGGAUGCUUGUCUGUCCACAGACGCGUUUUUACCUCACCUGAGAGGUUAACCACUGUAGCUUGGGGCAGAAAUUUGCCUGUUCAGAGAUAAAAGAUUUACCCGAUGCAAUGUAAUUAUUUACUUCUGUGGUUGAUAAGCCUCUGCAAUCUCAUGAAUACAUUUAGAUUGUGAAGGAAUUUGAGCCUAUAUUAGAAUCCUUUGUGGUAUGCUGCUCAGGGCAAAAAUAUGCUGUUUCAGUUACAUGUGCAAGGAUCUGGUUCAUCUUUCUCAGUAAGAGAUUCUUGGUAAGAAGCAGGCCGUCACAACCACAGUGCUCUAAAUCAUGUGGAUUAUUGUAGAAAUUAAGUGUUAAAGUCACAGGAAUGUAGAAAAGUAAGGCGCACUGAAUGCUGAUAAAUUCACCCAUAUGAGACAUCUUAGAAAUACUGAAAGUAGAGCCAGUAGGAUGUAUUAUCAGUGGCUUUGCAAGCAUGCUACAGCUCAUGUGCACAAACUACCUUCCAUACGUAGAUUACAAAUAUGAAUAUGGACAUCAGUGUGGUCGAUGAGCUGAAUGAGCAGCUCUCUGCAGAGCUGUUGCAACAGGAAGUGUGCUGUUUGUCAUCGUCAAGUACGAAACACUAAAUGUAUCCUUUACGUAGUAGUUGGAGUUGUUAAACAGUCUGAUAUCACAACAAAGCGAAAGACACUGCAUUUCCAGGAAACAGAGAUGUGGGUUGGUGCAGCUUCUUCCUAGAAGCUUUUCAUUGUUGUUCUCUACUUCAGAGGCCACCUUUGUUUGCUAAUGUUUUUGUAUCGCUGAGCAUGAUUUAUUUUAACCCAAUCAACAUAUUUCUCCUAGAUUUUUCAGAGUAACCUGAAUCCUUACCCAAACACCAGCCUGUGCACUUUGCAUGUACUUAUCUUUGAGUUAUUACUUAUUUGUAGGGGAAGGUGUAUUUCUCCAUUUUAUGUUCCUACAUGUCACCUCAGGCCCAGUGGUCUUUACAUUGACCUUUUUUUUUUUUUUAUUAAUAAUGUCUCAUUUUCAAUUAAAAUAGGAGACAAAAGCCACUGUGCAGCUGCUCAUCAUGGUAAUAUAGUAAAUGACAGUGGGUUAUAGUGACUGAGAUAAUGCACAGUGAAACCUGACAUUCAGUGUGUGCAGGAG